Molecule: long non-coding RNA, 2338 nt
Filed under: Oryctolagus cuniculus (rabbit)
Lineage: Eukaryota; Metazoa; Chordata; Mammalia; Lagomorpha; Leporidae
Description: lncRNA (ENSOCUG00000031299.1)
Source: RNAcentral
GUGCUAACUGCCGAGGAAGCAGCAGCACCCUGGCCGUGGUCUGCAGCCAAGCGUCAAGGACCCGGAAGCCUGGCGCAAUCCCCGCCACGACCACCCCGUCAGCUGCCGGACCGCGCCCCGCGGUGGCUUCUGCUGAGCGCGCGGCCAGCGGGGCCGCGGGAGCCUCCGAGCACGCCUGGACGCGGUGCCUGUGAGCUCCCGGGAGGCACGAACGAUCCCGGGAGUGAUCCCCUCCCGGCCGGGCCAUCGCCGUCGCAGCCGCCGCCGCCACCACCACCACCGCGGGGCGGAGCCCGGGCCGGGGGCGGGGCGCCAGGCGGGCGCGGCGCUAUUUCCAGCCUUGCCGGAGGCUUCGCUCGCACUUCGCUGGGAGCUUUCCCGGCGCGCAAUCCGGAAUCGGCGGUGCUGCGGGAGGAGAGAGGACCAGGCGGCGGCGGCGGCAGCGGCAGCGGAGGCGGGGACGGACCUGGGCCGGGGGCCGAGAGGCAACGCGCCGCCGCACCCUCUUCGUCGCCCCCUCCUGCGCGCUCCGGCCGCCGGCCCCCGCCGCGAGCCCACCCGGAGCACCGGGUUCCGCUCCGAACUGGGGCUGAGGUGCUUCCAGCCGCCCGGCGCCCCAAGCCGAGGCUUGGCGGUGGAGAACCGCGCCCGGACUAAAGGCGCCCGCGGCUUCGAGAGCGUCGGCUGCGCCAGGGAAGGGUUGCUCCAGAGACAGGUGUUCCCUGAAGACCAGUGUCCAGCUACUUUGGGAUCCAUCAUAAAGCCCUCGGCCUGAUGGAUGCUUGGUGUGGACGAUGAGGGAAGAAGGCACCUCCCGCACCCCAGAGGUGACCCCGGCGUGUGCCCCGGAUGACCCCGCGACCCAGCACCAUGCGGCUGGCCUGCAUGUUCUCGUCCAUCCUGCUGUUCGGAGCUGCAGGCCUCCUGCUCUUUGUCAGCCUGCAGGACCCCACGGAGCUCGCGCCCCAGCAGGCGCCAGUGCUCAGCAAGCGUGGUCAGGGUCUAAGGCCAGGACAUCUGCCCUCUGGAAACUCACUUCUUAUCCAAGGACGUGAGACUCAGUAUCCAGGUCAGAAAUGGGGAAAACAAACGCUAGCUCUGGGCAGACUGAGUGGGGGGCGCACCCUUCCCUGGGAACUGAUUCUCGAGGGGCGUUUGAUUCUAAACAGCCAGAGUGGAUUAGACUCACGCAGCCAAGCCCGUGCCCCUGACUCCAUCUGCAUCCCCUGUCCACUUGCCUCCUUCUCUCUGAUUCUGAAGCCAAUCUCAGAUAUCAGAUCAGUCCAGCCAUCAGCAUCUCAGUGUGGCUCUCAGAUAAAAGAUAAGAACUCUUUUUAAAGGUUUCCACUAAACCAGUGCCUUAAUAGCAAAUUGAUGUCAUCAACUAUCCAGUUAGUGUUCAAAUUUUUUUCUUUCUUUCUUUCUUUCUUUUUUGAAAGGUAGAGUUGCAGGGACUGGCGCUGUGGUGCAGCAGGUUAAUGCCCUGGCCUGAAGCGCUGGCAUCCCAUAUGGGCGCCAGUUCUAGUCCCGGAUGCUCCUCUUCUGAUCCAGCUCUCUGCGAUGGCCUGGGAAAGCAGUAGAAGAUGGCCCAAGUCCUUGGGCCCCUGUACCUGCAUGGGAGACCUGGAAGAAGCUCCUGGCUUUAAAAAAAAAAAAAAAAAAAGGUAGAGUGGCAGAAAGAGAGGAAGAGAGAAAGAAAGUGGGGAGGGAGAGAUAUUGAUCUUUUUUAAAAAAAAAAAGAUUUAUUUUAUUUAUUUGAAAGACAGAGUUAAAGAGAGAGGUAGAAACACAGAGAGAGGUCUUGCAUCCACUGGUUCACUCCCCAGAUGGCUGCAACAGCCAGAGCUGCGCUGAUCCGAAGCCAGGAGCCAAGAGCUUCUUCUGGGUCUCCCACAUGGGUGCAGGGGCCCAAGGACUUGGGCCAUCUUCUACUGCUAUCCCAGGCCAUAGCAGAGAGCUGGAUCGGAAGAGGAAUAACCGGGACUAGAACCGGCACCCAUAUAGGAUGCUGGCACUUCAGGUCAGGGCAUAACCCGCUGCACCACAGCGCCGGCCCCAAGAUAUUGAUCUUCAUCUGCUGGUUCACAUCCCAAAUGGCCGAAACCGCCAGUGCUGGGCCAGGCUGAAGCCAGGAGCUUCAUCCGGGUCUCCCACGUGGGUGGCAGGUGCCCAAGCACUUAGGCUAUCUUCUGCUGCUUUUCUCAGUACAUUAGCAGGGCAGUGGGGCAGCCGGGACUAGAGACGGUGCUGCCAGGGUCAACGCCGGCCCCAGGGUUCAAAUUUCUAGUCAUUGCACCACUGUGAGCACCUUCGUUCUGCUUGGUUGUCCGGUAUCCAG